CAGUAGCCGCGGUAAUACGAAGGGGGCUAGCGUUGCUCGGAAUCACUGGGCGUAAAGGGUGCGUAGGCGGGUUUUUAAGUCAGAGGUGAAAUCCUGGAGCUCAACUCCAGAACUGCCUUUGAUACUGAAAGUCUUGAGUUCGGGAGAGGUGAGUGGAACUGCGAGUGUAGAGGUGAAAUUCGUAGAUAUUCGCAAGAACACCAGUGGCGAAGGCGGCUCACUGGCCCGAUACUGACGCUGAGGCACGAAAGCGUGGGGAGCAAACAGGAUUAGAUACCCCGGUAGUCCCUGUCUCUUAUAC
Molecule: ribosomal RNA, 301 nt
Filed under: uncultured bacterium
Lineage: Bacteria
Description: partial 16S ribosomal RNA
Rfam family: Bacterial small subunit ribosomal RNA
Source: RNAcentral